RNAcentral lists this unclassified non-coding RNA (265 nucleotides) under Hevea brasiliensis (rubber tree). The record is from RNAcentral. Lineage: Eukaryota; Viridiplantae; Streptophyta; Magnoliopsida; Malpighiales; Euphorbiaceae.
AAUCCCCAUCCACAAGAGAUAAUCGAGUUUCCAUCUGUCAUUGUGAGCAGUGUAACUGGCCAACUCGAAGCCUGUUUCCAGACAUAUGUGCGGCCAACUUGCAAUCAGCUUCUAAGUGAUUUCUGCAAGGAUCUGACUGGUAUCCAGCAAAUCCAGGUGGACAGAGGUGUCACUCUUAGUGAGGCACUCCUUAGGCAUGAUAAAUGGCUUGAGAAGAAGGGGAUAAAAGACACUAACUUUGCUGUGGUUACAUGGUCAAACUGGG